This 454-nucleotide long non-coding RNA is filed under the name Brassica rapa (field mustard). RNAcentral's name for it is "long non-coding RNA (BRAP_LNC007868)". The record is from RNAcentral. Lineage: Eukaryota; Viridiplantae; Streptophyta; Magnoliopsida; Brassicales; Brassicaceae.
UUUGAUGUUAAAAAAGAGAGACAAUUAUUGUUUCGCUGGUUUUCACAACAAACUUUUCGUAUCACUGAAUAAUUCUCAUGCGUCACCUCCUAGACAGACAAUUAUGAUAUCAUCUGGUUUGUUCAUAAUAUAUUUGCAUGCAUGAAUUAUUAUUUUCUGAGAUGCGUUGUACAGAAGCAAUAAAAUAUAUGAAGAUAAUCUAAAAAGGCAUUAUGAAAUAUUAAUAUGUAUUAUAUAUAUUUGUGGAUAAACAGUGAUCGAUCUAUAUUGGUUGAAAAAGAAUUAAUUUAAAUUAGUUUGAGUCAAACUAUGAUUGGAUGAUGAAUACCAAAAAGACAAGAGUCUUUUUCUCGUUUGACUCUCAUUGUAUUAGCUCGGGUUUUUCCUCAACGGUUGGCAAACUAAAGUGGACAAAUUACUGGAUUUUUCAACUUGACAAAAAAAAAUAGUUUUC